CGGGCGGACGGGGGAGUAACGCGUGGGUACCGUACCCUCUACACACGGAUAACAUACCGAAAGGUAAUGCUAAUACGGGAUAAUAAUAUUUGUAGAGGCAUCUCUUGAAUAUCAAAGGUGAGCCAGUACAGGAUGGACCCGCGUCUGAUUAGCUAGUUGGUAAGGUAACGGCUUACCAAGGCGACGAUCAGUAGCCGACCUGAGAGGGUGAUCGGCCACAUUGGAACUGAGACACGGUCCAA
This 242-nucleotide ribosomal RNA is filed under the name uncultured bacterium. RNAcentral describes it as "partial 16S ribosomal RNA". It matches the Rfam family "Bacterial small subunit ribosomal RNA", at positions 95 to 334 of the family's 1533-position model. The record is from RNAcentral.